AACCAGAUGCGCAGAGAAUCAGACUGUUGUGUUUUGCUUAUGGAGAAAGCAGCUGUUUUGGGCUCCGUUGACCAAACUGCGAACACUGGACCAACGUAUAACAAAGAACUACGCGGAUUACUAAAAGGCAUUUCGUGAAAGGAGCUUGCGCUCACUCUUUUGUGGAUACAUAACAUUUUUUAAGUGUGUAGUUUCUGUGCUGUUUUAGUUUUAGGAUGUGAAUUCGCUUUGUUGACGAUUGGCAUCUCUGCAUUGCAUCUAAUCUUCAUUGCGAAUAGGCUUAAUAUUGCUGUUGGAGCUAAUUUUGCAUCGAGAACCGCUUGUAAUUGCCUGGAAUGACCACUUCACGUUAUAAGUUUUUCAUAUUCCAUUCAAGUGUGGCUUAGUAUAAUUCAACUGGAGAGUGCAUAAAAAUGUGAUAGAAUAUCUCUUUGAAGAACAUGAAUGCAAGAUUCCUGAUAAAUGUACAAAUCAUGUUCUUCAAGCCAAUGCUGAAGAAAAACAUAUGAAAUUUUCUGUAAUGUAACGGAUGUCCUUGUGCCAUUGAUCCUGGGACACUACCAAGAAACGUGCCAGGAUAUUCCUGAACUCAUGUCCAAUAUGUGAUAGAAAUGUAUUGAUUAUUUUUUAGUAUUUAUUCACAAAUCUUUAAUGAAACUCACAAAACUGGAGGGCAGUACUGCAAUUUUCGAGAUGGUGAAGACUUUCCAAGCCUACUUACCCAACUGCCAUCGCACUUAUAGCUGCAUACAUUGCCGAGCACAUCUUGCAAAUCACGAUGAACUGAUAUCAAAGUCAUUCCAAGGGAGUCAAGGGCGUGCAUACCUAUUUAAUUCUGU
Molecule: long non-coding RNA, 839 nt
Organism: Uloborus diversus
Lineage: Eukaryota; Metazoa; Arthropoda; Arachnida; Araneae; Uloboridae
Exons: 4
Source: RefSeq, a predicted model, not a curated record